Molecule: small nucleolar RNA, 133 nt
Organism: Mastomys coucha (southern multimammate mouse)
Lineage: Eukaryota; Metazoa; Chordata; Mammalia; Rodentia; Muridae
Product: small nucleolar RNA SNORA17
Exons: 1
Source: RefSeq, a predicted model, not a curated record
CCUGCCCCUAGAGGUGUUACAGGUAUGGCCAUUGUGUCACACGUGCGAUCAGUAGGUGGCAGAAAGAAGAGAGAUUAUGUCUGUACUCAGUGUUCUGACCCAUGAACAUCUAAAUGAUUAGUAGCCAGCCUAA